RNAcentral lists this ribosomal RNA (719 nucleotides) under Klebsiella pneumoniae. Its description in RNAcentral is "partial 23S ribosomal RNA". It matches the Rfam family "Bacterial large subunit ribosomal RNA", at positions 103 to 867 of the family's 2925-position model. The record is from RNAcentral. Lineage: Bacteria; Pseudomonadati; Pseudomonadota; Gammaproteobacteria; Enterobacterales; Enterobacteriaceae.
ACCGGCGAUGUCCGAAUGGGGAAACCCAGUGCAAUUCGUUGCACUAUCGUUAACUGAAUACAUAGGUUAACGAGGCGAACCGGGGGAACUGAAACAUCUAAGUACCCCGAGGAAAAGAAAUCAACCGAGAUUCCCCCAGUAGCGGCGAGCGAACGGGGAGCAGCCCAGAGUCUGAAUCAGCUUGUGUGUUAGUGGAACGGUCUGGAAAGUCCGACGGUACAGGGUGAUAGUCCCGUACACCAAAAUGCACAGGCUGUGAACUCGAAGAGUAGGGCGGGACACGUGGUAUCCUGUCUGAAUAUGGGGGGACCAUCCUCCAAGGCUAAAUACUCCUGACUGACCGAUAGUGAACCAGUACCGUGAGGGAAAGGCGAAAAGAACCCCGGCGAGGGGAGUGAAAAAGAACCUGAAACCGUGUACGUACAAGCAGUGGGAGCACCUUCGGGUGUGACUGCGUACCUUUUGUAUAAUGGGUCAGCGACUUAUAUUCUGUAGCAAGGUUAACCGUAUAGGGGAGCCGCAGGGAAACCGAGUCUUAACUGGGCGUUAAGUUGCAGGGUAUAGACCCGAAACCCGGUGAUCUAGCCAUGGGCAGGUUGAAGGUUGGGUAACACUAACUGGAGGACCGAACCGACUAAUGUUGAAAAAUUAGCGGAUGACUUGUGGCUGGGGGUGAAAGGCCAAUCAAACCGGGAGAUAGCUGGUUCUCCCCGAAAGCU